CGCCGCUUGUCGCCAAUUGAGGGACAGGAGCCAGGCGAAGCUCGACCAGGCCGAACUGCAUCAACCGCGCGAUGGUCGAGCCCGCGACCUGGCUUGGAAUCCCGAGCGACGUUGCCACCUCUUCGAUCGUUUCUGGGGUGCGAUCGAGCGCGAGCAGGAUCAUUUCUUCGAUUGGACUCCAUCCCCAUGUGCGUUGAACGAUGGCGCGCG
This 210-nucleotide unclassified non-coding RNA is filed under the name Hevea brasiliensis (rubber tree). The record is from RNAcentral. Lineage: Eukaryota; Viridiplantae; Streptophyta; Magnoliopsida; Malpighiales; Euphorbiaceae.